UGUAUUCAAUAGGGAUUCUGGUUGGCUGACCGUCUGCCCUACAUCUGUUCCCGUAUGGAGAGGAAGCUAAGAGUGCCCUUACCACAUCGACAGGAAGAAAAAGAACGAAUGGCAGAAGAGUGCCCGAGUCCCCGAGUCUGUAUCCAUCUUAUUUCGAUCCCAUUGAUCCGACGAUAUAGACGGCCAUCCAGGCCAAAGAACUCGUGAAGGAGAGAUCGCCGGAGCAUCGGUCCGCCUGCCAAUUGAUGAAAAUUUGUCGUCACUAGAAUAUUGUCGAGGAAAGGACAGACGCGCCACUUGGUUGGAGUCACCGAUCGUCUCGCUCCUUCUUCGCCCCUCGAAGUUUUACAUUCCACUUCUCACCCCAUCGAAAAUUCCCAGUAGAGAAGGGUCUGCCACUUUUUCCAUCUCGAGGACGCUUCACCUUGAUCCAGGUUAUCGAUAUAAUCCAUGAUGAGAGACGCGCAAUUUUGGAGACGCCGACGAUAAGGUUAACAUCGUCUCAGCCAGGUCAAUGCACCAUGAAAAGCGUAGGAUCCUUCGGAUUGUAUCUGAAAAUGAGGUGAAGGGCCAGUGAACAAACAGGCCGAUCGACUUUCGUCUACUCCGAUCGAGAAACGAGUAAUCCCUCGGCGGUGUUUUCGACCUUGUUGAAAAAGUUGGUACACGGCCAUCAUUUAUCCAAUUGAACGGAUUGUUUCAGAAUUCUAAUGUG
This is a long non-coding RNA of Camponotus floridanus (Florida carpenter ant), 715 nucleotides long. RefSeq lists it as uncharacterized. Lineage: Eukaryota; Metazoa; Arthropoda; Insecta; Hymenoptera; Formicidae. The record is from RefSeq and is a predicted model, not a curated record. The transcript is spliced from 3 exons.